This 456-nucleotide ribosomal RNA is filed under the name uncultured Staphylococcus sp. RNAcentral's name for it is "bacterial SSU rRNA". It matches the Rfam family "Bacterial small subunit ribosomal RNA", at positions 21 to 466 of the family's 1533-position model. The record is from RNAcentral. Lineage: Bacteria; Bacillati; Bacillota; Bacilli; Caryophanales; Staphylococcaceae.
GGCUCAGGAUGAACGCUGGCGGCGUGCCUAAUACAUGCAAGUCGAGCGAACUGACGAGGAGCUUGCUCCUUUGACGUUAGCGGCGGACGGGUGAGUAACACGUGGGUAACCUACCUAUAAGACUGGAAUAACUCCGGGAAACCGGGGCUAAUGCCGGAUAACAUAUCGAACCGCAUGGUUCGAUAGUGAAAGACGGUCUUGCUGUCACUUAUAGAUGGACCCGCGCCGUAUUAGCUAGUUGGUGAGGUAACGGCUCACCAAGGCAACGAUACGUAGCCGACCUGAGAGGGUGAUCGGCCACACUGGAACUGAGACACGGUCCAGACUCCUACGGGAGGCAGCAGUAGGGAAUCUUCCGCAAUGGGCGAAAGCCUGACGGAGCAACGCCGCGUGAGUGAUGAAGGUCUUCGGAUCGUAAAGCUCUGUUGUUAGGGAAGAACAAAUGUGUAAGUAACU